AGAGUUUGAUCCUGGCUCAGNACGAACGCUGGCGGCGUGCCUAAUACAUGCAAGUCGAGCGAACAUUUGAGAGCUUGCUCUCAGGAUGUUAGCGGCGGACGGGUGAGUAACACGUGGGCAACCUGCCUAUAAGACUGGGAUAACUUCGGGAAACCGGAGCUAAUACCGGAUAAUUCACAUCUACUCAUGUAGAUGUGCUGAAAGACGGUUUACGCUGUCACUUAUAGAUGGGCCCGCGGCGCAUUAGCUAGUUGGUGAGGUAACGGCUCACCAAGGCCACGAUGCGUAGCCGACCUGAGAGGGUGAUCGGCCACACUGGGACUGAGACACGGCCCAGACUCCUACGGGAGGCAGCAGUAGGGAAUCUUCCGCAAUGGACGAAAGUCUGACGGAGCAACGCCGCGUGAGUGAUGAAGGUUUUCGGAUCGUAAAACUCUGUUGUUAGGGAAGAACAAGUAUCGGAGUAACUGCCGGUACCUUGACGGUACCGAACC
Molecule: ribosomal RNA, 494 nt
Filed under: uncultured bacterium
Lineage: Bacteria
Description: bacterial SSU rRNA
Rfam family: Bacterial small subunit ribosomal RNA
Source: RNAcentral